AAGCGCGNANAGGUUGCUUGCACCUUUCAGCGAGUGGCGAACGGGUGAGUAACACGUGGAUAACCUGCCUCAAGGCUGGGGAUAACAUUUGGAAACAGAUGCUAAUACCGAAUAAAACUUAGUAUCGCAUGAUAUAAAGUUAAAAGGCGCUACGGCGUCACCUAGAGAUGGAUCCGCGGUGCAUUAGUUAGUUGGUGGGGUAAAGGCUUACCAAGACAAUGAUGCAUAGCCGAGUUGAGAGACUGAUCGGCCACAUUGGGACUGAGACACGGCCCAAACUCCUACGGGAGGCUGCAGUAGGGAAUCUUCCACAAUGGGCGCAAGCCUGAUGGAGCAACGCCGCGUGUGUGAUGAAGGCUUUCGGGUCGUAAAGCACUGUUGUAUGGGAAGAAAUGCUAAAAUAGGGAAUGAUUUUAGUUUGACGGUACCAUACCAGAAAGGGACGGCUAAAUACGUGCCAGCAGCCGCGGUAAUACGUAUGUCCCGAGCGUUAUCCGGAUUUAUUGGGCGUAAAGCGAGCGCAGACGGUUGAUUAAGUCUGAUGUGAAAGCCCGGAGCUCAACUCCGGAAUGGCAUUGGAAACUGGUUAACUUGAGUGUUGUAGAGGUAAGUGGAACUCCAUGUGUAGCGGUGAAAUGGCGUAGUAUNA
Molecule: ribosomal RNA, 649 nt
Filed under: Leuconostoc sp. B 233
Lineage: Bacteria; Bacillati; Bacillota; Bacilli; Lactobacillales; Lactobacillaceae
Description: bacterial SSU rRNA
Rfam family: Bacterial small subunit ribosomal RNA
Source: RNAcentral